GGUACCGCUCCAGUCGUUCAUGGUUUUAGAGCUAGAAAUAGCAAGUUAAAAUAAGGCUAGUCCGUUAUCAACUUGAAAAAGUGGCACCGAGUCGGUGCU
Molecule: unclassified non-coding RNA, 99 nt
Filed under: Mus musculus (house mouse)
Lineage: Eukaryota; Metazoa; Chordata; Mammalia; Rodentia; Muridae
Description: single-guide RNA from Mus musculus (PDB 5Y36, chain B)
Source: RNAcentral